RNAcentral lists this ribosomal RNA (497 nucleotides) under uncultured bacterium. Its description in RNAcentral is "partial 16S ribosomal RNA". It matches the Rfam family "Bacterial small subunit ribosomal RNA", at positions 28 to 507 of the family's 1533-position model. The record is from RNAcentral.
GACGAACGCUGGCGGCGUGCCUAAUACAUGCAAGUUGAGCGCUGAAGGUUGGUGCUUGUACCAACUGGAUGAGCAGCGAACGGGUGAGUAACGCGUGGGGAAUCUGCCUUUGAGCGGGGGACAACAUUUGGAAACGAAUGCUAAUACCGCAUAAAAACUUUAAACACAAGUUUUAAGUUUGAAAGAUGCAAUUGCAUCACUCAAAGAUGAUCCCGCGUUGUAUUAGCUAGUUGGUGAGGUAAAGGCUCACCAAGGCGAUGAUACAUAGCCGACCUGAGAGGGUGAUCGGCCACAUUGGGACUGAGACACGGCCCAAACUCCUACGGGAGGCAGCAGUAGGGAAUCUUCGGCAAUGGACGAACGUCUGACCGAGCAACGCCGCGUGAGUGAAGAAGGUUUUUGGAUCGUAAAACUCUGUUGGUAGAGAAGAACGUUGGUGAGAGUGGAAAGCUCAUCAAGUGACGGUAACUACACAGAAAGGGACGGCUAACUACGUG